AUCCUGGCGGGGUGGUUUGCAACGGCUAGAGGGGAGACUUUAAACUCGAACGGUUGUGGGGAGGGACUCAGAUAGAGAAAGCUAGUAGACAGUGUGUGAGGCAGAGAGGCAGAGAAGGGAAGCACUCAGAAUCAACAUGUAGGGGGGGGGGGAGAAGAAAAUAUGAUAUACAGAGAAUAAGAGGUGGUGGGUAUCUUAAAUGUUUGAGCAGAGAGAAGAGGGGUGUAAAACUAGGGUAGAAGCAAUAGGUAGCAAGGUGAAAAGUAAAAGUGGCAGGCAGACAAAUCCAGGGCAAAAAUCAAAAAGAGC
Amblyraja radiata (thorny skate) is the source of this 309-nucleotide long non-coding RNA. RefSeq lists it as uncharacterized. The transcript is spliced from 3 exons. Lineage: Eukaryota; Metazoa; Chordata; Chondrichthyes; Rajiformes; Rajidae. The record is from RefSeq and is a predicted model, not a curated record.